ACGAACGCUGGCGGCGUGCCUAAUACAUGCAAGUAGAACGCUGAAGAGAGGAGCUUGCUCUUCUUGGAUGAGUUGCGAACGGAUGAGUAACGCGUAGGUAACCUGCCUUGUAGCGGGGGAUAACUAUUGGAAACGAUAGCUAAUACCGCAUAACAAUGGAUGACACAUGUCAUUUAUUUGAAAGGGGCAAUUGCUCCACUACAAGAUGGACCUGCGUUGUAUUAGCUAGUAGGUGAGGUAAUGGCUCACCUAGGCGACGAUACAUAGCCGACCUGAGAGGGUGAUCGGCCACACUGGGACUGAGACACGGCCCAGACUCCUACGGGAGGCAGCAGUAGGGAAUCUUCGGCAAUGGGGGCAACCCUGACCGAGCAACGCCGCGUGAGUGAAGAAGGUUUUCGGAUCGUAAAGCUCUGUUGUAAGUCAAGAACGGGUGUGAGAGUGGAAAGUUCACACUGUGACGGUAGCUUACCAGAAAGGGACGGCUAACUACGUG
RNAcentral lists this ribosomal RNA (496 nucleotides) under uncultured bacterium. RNAcentral's name for it is "partial 16S ribosomal RNA". It matches the Rfam family "Bacterial small subunit ribosomal RNA", at positions 29 to 507 of the family's 1533-position model. The record is from RNAcentral.